RNAcentral lists this transfer RNA (71 nucleotides) under Dallia pectoralis (Alaska blackfish). RNAcentral's name for it is "tRNA-Tyr". It matches the Rfam family "tRNA". From Rfam's summary of the family: Transfer RNA (tRNA) molecules are approximately 80 nucleotides in length. Their secondary structure includes four short double-helical elements and three loops (D, anti-codon, and T loops). The record is from RNAcentral. Lineage: Eukaryota; Metazoa; Chordata; Actinopteri; Esociformes; Umbridae.
GGUAAGAUGGCUGAGAGCUUAAGUGGUGGGUUGUAGCCCCUCAUACAGGGGUUAAAAUCCCCUUCUUAUCA